This 4061-nucleotide small RNA is filed under the name Pan troglodytes (chimpanzee). Its description in RNAcentral is "retained intron". Lineage: Eukaryota; Metazoa; Chordata; Mammalia; Primates; Hominidae. The record is from RNAcentral.
GAGAAGGCUGUGACUGCUGUGCUCUGGGCGCCAGCUCACUCCAGGGAGUGAUGGGAAUCCUGUCAUUCUUACCUGUCCUUGCCACUGAGAGUGACUGGGCUGACUGCAAGUCCCCCCAGCCUUGGGGCCAUAUGCUUCUGUGGACAGCUGUGCUAUUCCUGGCUCCUGUUGCUGGGACACCUGCAGCUCCCCCAAAGGCUGUGCUGAAACUCGAGCCCCAGUGGAUCAACGUGCUCCAGGAGGACUCUGUGACUCUGACAUGCCGGGGAACUCACAGCCCUGAGAGUGACUCCAUUCAGUGGUUCCACAAUGGGAAUCUCAUCCCCACCCACACGCAGCCCAGCUACAGGUUCAAGGCCAACAACGACAGCGGGGAGUACACGUGCCAGACUGGCCAGACCAGCCUCAGCGACCCUGUGCAUCUGACUGUGCUUUCUGAGUGGCUGGUGCUCCAGACCCCUCACCUGGAGUUCCAGGAGGGAGAAACCAUCGUGCUGAGGUGCCACAGCUGGAAGGACAAGCCUCUGGUCAAGGUCACAUUCUUCCAGAAUGGAAAAUCCAAGAAAUUUUCCCGUUCAGAUCCCAACUUCUCCAUCCCACAAGCAAACCACAGUCACAGUGGUGAUUACCACUGCACAGGAAACAUAGGCUACACGCUGUACUCAUCCAAGCCUGUGACCAUCACUGUCCAAGCGCCCAGCUCUUCACCGAUGGGGAUCAUUGUGGCUGUGGUCACUGGGAUUGCUGUAGCGGCCAUUGUUGCUGCUGUAGUGGCCUUUAUCUAUUGCAGGAAAAAGCAGAUUUCAGGUUUGUAGCUCCUCCCGGUCCCUUUUGUUAUCAGUUUCCACUUGGCCCAGGCCCUAACCCCAGACAUUGCCAGAAUCCCUCUCUUUGAGCUAGAUACACAUUCAGAUCUAGGCCCGUAUUGUAUUAUAGUCAUUCAUUCAUUUAUUAGAUCAUUCAUUUGACAAGACUUGAACAAACUAGCUUAUGUGUCAGCCAAUGCGUGAGACGUGGUGGGUGAUGCCAAGAUGAAGUCCAGUCCCUGCCCUUGGGGAGUUCUCAGCAUUGUGAGGAAGACAGGGUCAUUAUAAUAAGAUGGGAUAAGAGCAAUGAUAGGGACAUGAAAAGCCUAGGAUAGAAGUACAGAGGAGGCUCCAUAGCCCAACAAGGGCUGAGGCAGUUGGAGAAGGUCUCGGGGAGAGCAGUGUAGUGUAGUGAUGGAGUGCACACAGUGGGGCCAGACUGCCUGGGUUCAAAUCUAGUUCUACAGCAUACCAACUAUAUGACCCAAGUGAGUCACUCCACCUCUCUGUGCCUCACCUGUCUCAAGUGGAAAAUGGGGACACUAAUAGGACUUACCUCACAGGGUUGCCAUGGGGAUGAAAGAGGCUGAUGCUCUUACACAGUGCCUGGUAGGCAGGAACAGCACACAAACAGGGCUGUUGCCAUUCUGGAGGAGGUGGUAUGUGAGGGCAGCGCUUAGCUAGGGAAGGAGGACUCUCCAGGCACUGGGCCAAGGCAGGGAUUGAAGCUGGGUGGGGCUCAUAUGGGUGUCGAAGGGGGAGUAGAGAGGGUACUGCAAGCCACCAAGAAAGAAAUAAUCCCACUAACACCUCACAAAGCACUUUGCAAUUGGUUCAUAGCCAACACCUCAGUUACUGAUGGUAAGUAAAUACAGAGAAACAGAGAGAGAGAGAGAGAGACUGAGACACAGGGGGUGUUUUUAAAAGGCAGAGCAAGCCUCAGACAGAUGCCAUGGAGUGGCCUUUCUGACACUCCUGGGCAUCCCCACGGGUGAGCUGAAUUCUGCCUCUGGACCAGCCCUUUUCCAGGCGGGAGCGGCCCCUGAGCAGGGGAGAUGGGGGUGGGAGGACAGGAAACAUCUGCCAGAGGGAAGGCCUGAGCUGGUCCCAUCCAACCCUGGCCCUGGUCCUUGGUCCUGAGGACUCAGGCCCCACUGCCUAAUCCUACUAACCUCCUGUGUGCCCCUCCCAGCUCUCUCAGGAUACCCUGAGUGCAGGGAAAUGAGAGAGACCCUCCCUGAGAAACCAGGUGAGUACAGGGUUGUCUCAGGGAUCCAGUGAUGGCUCACCAGGGCUGCCGGCUGGACUGCGCCAGCGAGAAGGGGCUUGUGCGAGUUCAGCUGGGAGCCAGGGAGGGAGCAGCGGUGGGAGGAUGGCCGGGGCUUAAAUCGCUUGGUCAGCUCUGAGUCUAACUCCUGGGCCUAAAGAUGACCUCUCUGGAGAUGAGAAGAGAAACACCAGUCCCAGAUACAGAGGAGAGGGCUGUGUUCAAAUUUCUGGUACCAGGAAUCUGAUGAUAUUUCCAGAGCAGGAAAUCAGAGAUACUUUGGUCUUUCUGUGGAGCUUUGGCAGAGCUGGCAGAGGAUGGGGUUAGGGGCUGUAAGACUGAGGCCAAUCGGAUGUGGGAGGCAGGAGUCUAAGGGGAAAGGAGGAGGAGGCCUGGAAACCCCUCGAUUUGCUGAGGAAUCUGCCUCUGUGGAAGGAUGGGGUGGAGUGGCCAGGCUCAGCUGUCUGUGGAACACUAAGAGGAGGUUUGGGCUUGAGAAAAUUCUGGGGGACUAGGGGCACUAGUGGGCUCUACUCUGUGGGCAAAACUCGGUUCUGAUGCCCAUGCACUCAAGGUUGACUGCAUUUUGGCCUGGUUCUGCCCCCAUCACACAGUGGAGCCUUGAGCAAGUCAGUCUCCCUGAUGGGGUUCAGUCUCCUCACUGAGGAAAUGAGUGGGUGGCCAAGGUGACCUCUCAGGCCUUCUAGGUCUGACAUUCAGGUGGGAGUGUGUAAAGGAACUUCCAGGAGGAUGCCAGGCAACUUCCAGACUGUAGUUAAAGUCAGAGCAUAAAGGAAACCAGGGCUUUCUCCGGGGGUUUCCAUGACAGUAGGAACAGGCAGGAAAAAGGCUGUCAAAGACCCCACCUCAGAUGGCUGGAGUAUGAUUCAGAGCAGAGCCAACAGAUUUAAGAGCUUGAGCAAAAUAUCACUUGUUCAGCUGUGCUUGCAGUAAGGUUGCACGUCCGCUGGCCAGGCCCAGUGGUGAUAGGGGCCUGUGUUCACACCAGGGCCAAAGCAGAUCUGGAAAAAACAAAGUCCAAGUAACUGGAUUAUCCGUCUUGUUGUGUGGUUCUGUCUACACUGGCAUAAGCGCAUUUGAUGAGGCAUUUUUGCAGCCAGGCAUUGGGGCUGCAUAAAUGGUUUCUUAAAAAUCCUUUCCCAAAAGGCAAAGCUGGGUUGCUAGAAUUGUUGGGGAAUGUAUUAGAAUGGGAAUUCAGAAUGUGGUUUGCUGCAGAAUUUACAGCAUGGCAAUAAAGGCUCUCUGUGUUCAGGGGGUGAGAGAAGAGACUAGAUGCAUUGUCUCAGAUGUCUCCCGACUUCCUGAGAAAUGCCACUUUGCAAAUACUGGGGCUGCUUUUCACACUGGCAAAAUCAGUUUAUGACAAAAACAUGAGGCAAUUAGGUGUGUUUUGGACACUAACCAGAGAAAGUCCUUUCUUCCCUCCCUCCCUCCCUCCUUCCCUCCCUCCCUCCCUCUCUCCCUUUUUAAUGCCAUGGAGUACUAUAUUCUUCAAAGUUCCAACAAAGAUGCACUACAUUUGGACAAUGUGGAAAUGGCCCUCAGCCUUCUCUUCCUGAUGUGGUCAGCAAAAAUCUGGACUUUACUUCACUCUGAUGCUGAACACCCUGCUCCACGUCUUCCCCAGUAUCUCAGAUCCCCAAGCUGUCUGGUUUGCUUCUAGGAAAGCUCAGCAAUUCCCUGAAAAGAGUGUGGCCCAAGUGACUGCUUCCCUCCACCAGUGUGGCCCGUGGGGAAGGCUGUGGCUGGGUGACCCCAAGGGUGGGUACAUGAGGCCAUAUUUACUUAGCCCUUGGCCUUACAGGACUGUGUCAAGGGGUCAGUAGUCCUUGCUUUGAGUCUGGUUAUGGUUUUGCAGCCUCAGCAUCAGCAUGGGCAGGCCCUUUUCAACAGCAGUGCCCUGGCUAAUCUUUUUCUUUUUCCCCACAGCCAAUUCCACUGAUCCUGUGAAGGCUGCCCAGUUUGAG